Molecule: ribosomal RNA, 99 nt
Filed under: uncultured bacterium
Lineage: Bacteria
Description: partial 16S ribosomal RNA
Rfam family: Bacterial small subunit ribosomal RNA
Source: RNAcentral
UACACACCGCCCGUCACACCACGAAAGCUGACUGCAACCGAAGUCGGUGAUGGAACCGAAAGGACCUAACCGCCGAAGUUGUGAUCAGUGAUUGGGGUG